GUGGGUCUGUGCUACGGCCCGAGCCGUUGGUCCCGCGCCGAGAUGCUUCAAAGCAUUAUUAAAAAUGUGUGGAUCCCCAUGAAACCCUACUAUACCCAAGUUUACCAGGAGAUCUGGAUCGGAAUGGGCUUGAUGGGCUUCAUUGUUUAUAAAAUCAGGAGUGCAGAUAAAAGAAGUAAAGCUUUGAAAGCUCCCGCACCUGCUCGUGGUCAUCACUACCCAGCCUCACUUGGAGUGCACAAGAGAGGGUACGUCAGUCUGCCUGCAGAUCUCAGCAAGCUGUGUUAGAUGGGAACAUGGAACGUCCCUGUACACUUGCAUAAGUGCCGUCUACUUUGGCAUGAAUAAAUGUCUCUGAGAUGCACCACACCUGGGACUGCGUUCAGUGUGCCCCCGCUCAGCUCCCUCCUGUGUGCCAGGCUUACUCUGAGUAGAUCAUUUGUAAUGCAGGUGAAUUUCAGAUGAAAUCAGAAUCUUACUGAGCUGUUCAUGGUUAGAAGCCCGAGGAA
This is a non-coding RNA of Microcebus murinus (gray mouse lemur), 509 nucleotides long. The record is from RefSeq and is a predicted model, not a curated record. Lineage: Eukaryota; Metazoa; Chordata; Mammalia; Primates; Cheirogaleidae.